UUGUGGUUAGCGGAGAAAUUCCAAUCGAACUCGGAGCUAGCUAGUUCUCCCCGAAAUGUGUUGAGGCGCAGCGAUGAUUGAAGGAUUGUUGAUAGGGGUAAAGCACUGUUUCGGUGCGGGCUGUGAAAACGGUACCAAAUCGAUGCAAACUCAGAAUACUAUCCAUAUUUUCCAAUCAUUAGUGAGACUGUGGGGGAUAAGCUUCAUUGUCAAGAGGGAAACAACCCAGACCAUCGAUUAAGGCCCCUAAAUGAUUACUCAGUGAAAAAGGAGGUAAUAAUACCGAGACAACCAGAAGGUUUGCUUAGAAGCAGCAAUCCUUAAAAGAGU
This 330-nucleotide ribosomal RNA is filed under the name Rhizochromulina marina. RNAcentral describes it as "partial Bacterial large subunit ribosomal RNA". It matches the Rfam family "Bacterial large subunit ribosomal RNA", at positions 809 to 1131 of the family's 2925-position model. The record is from RNAcentral. Lineage: Eukaryota; Dictyochophyceae; Rhizochromulinales.